This 1958-nucleotide ribosomal RNA is filed under the name human oral metagenome. RNAcentral describes it as "bacterial LSU rRNA". It matches the Rfam family "Bacterial large subunit ribosomal RNA", at positions 1096 to 2925 of the family's 2925-position model. The record is from RNAcentral.
GGAGGUUGGCUUAGAAGCAGCCAUCCUUGAAAGAGUGCGUAAUAGCUCACUGGUCAAGUGAUUCUGCGCCGAUAAUGUAGCGGGGCUCAAGUACACCGCCGAAGUUGUGGCAAUCAGCUUUUUGUGGCUGGUUGGGUAGGGGAGCGUCCUGCACGAGGUGAAGCUGCCACGGGAGUGUGUGGUGGAUUGUGUGGGAGUGAGAAUGCAGGCAUGAGUAGCGAAUCACGGGUGAGAAACCCGUGCGCCGGAUGAUCAAGGGUUCCAGGGUCAAGUUAAUCUGCCCUGGGUUAGUCGGGGCCUAAGGCGAGGCCGACAGGCGUAGUCGAUGGAGAACGGGUUGAUAUUCCCGUACCAGUGAAGGACCGUCCAUACUGAUAUUGUGAUGCUAACCAUGCCGAUCACGGUGUCAUGAAGUUUUUCUUUGUGGUGUUGUGGGGUGUGUGGGACCCAAGCUUUGGAGGUAAGCGUGUUAACAGGUGUGACGCAGGAAGGUAGCCAAGCCACGCGGUGGUUGUCGUGGUCUAAGCGUGUAGGAUGACUGGUUGUUAAAUGCGCCGGUUGUGUGUCUGAGACGUGAUGGGACCCCUUGUUUGUGGGGGAUUUGGUGAUCCUAUGCUGCCGAGAAAAGCAUCGGCGUGAGGUUUUAGCUGCCCGUACCCGAAACCGACACAGGUGAUCAGGUAGAGAAUACUAAGGCGAUCGAGAGAAUCAUGGUUAAGGAACUCGGCAAAAUGCCCCCGUAACUUCGGGAGAAGGGGGGCCCUGAGCGUGAUCUGCCCGUGCGGUGGGGAGCGUGUAGGGGUCGCAGAGACCAGGGGGAAGCGACUGUUUAUCAAAAACACAGGUCCGUGCGAAGUCGUAAGACGAGGUAUACGGACUGACUCCUGCCCGGUGCUGGAAGGUUAAGAGGAUUGGUUAGCCCUGUGUGGGCGAAGCUGAGAAUUUAAGCCCCAGUAAACGGCGGUGGUAACUAUAACCAUCCUAAGGUAGCGAAAUUCCUUGUCGGGUAAGUUCCGACCUGCACGAAUGGAGUAACGACUUCCCUACUGUCUCAACCAUGAACUCGGUGAAAUUGCAGUACGAGUAAAGAUGCUCGUUUCGCGCAGCAGGACGGAAAGACCCCGUGACCUUUACUAUAGUUUGGUAUUGGUGUUUGGGUUGGCUUGUGUAGGAUAGGUGGGAGACUGUGAAGCCAUCACGCUAGUGGUGGUGGAGUCGUUGUUGAAAUACCACUCUGGUCAAUCUGGAUGUCUAACUUCGGGCCAUGAUCUGGUUCAGGGACAGUGCCUGAUGGGUAGUUUAACUGGGGCGGUUGCCUCCUAAAGUGUAACGGAGGCGCCCAAAGGUUCCCUCAGCUUGGUUGGCAAUCAGGUGUUGAGUGUAAGUGCACAAGGGAGCUUGACUGUGAGAGUGGCGACUCGAGCAGGGACGAAAGUCGGGACUAGUGAUCCGGCAGUGGCUUGUGGAAGCGCUGUCGCUCAACGGAUAAAAGGUACCUCGGGGAUAACAGGCUGAUCUUGCCCAAGAGUCCAUAUCGACGGCAUGGUUUGGCACCUCGAUGUCGGCUCGUCGCAUCCUGGGGCUGGAGUCGGUCCCAAGGGUUGGGCUGUUCGCCCAUUAAAGCGGUACGCGAGCUGGGUUCAGAACGUCGUGAGACAGUUCGGUCCCUAUCCGCUGCGCGCGUUGGAGAAUUGAGAAAGGCUGUCCUUAGUACGAGAGGACCGGGACGGACGAACCUCUGGUAUGUCAGUUGUACCGCCAGGUGCAUGGCUGAUUGGCUACGUUCGGGAGGGAUAACCGCUGAAGGCAUCUAAGCGGGAAGCCUGUUUCGAGAUGAGUUCUCCUGGCACCUUUUGGGUGUGUGAGGCUCCUUAGAGAUGAUGAGGUUGAUAGGCCGGGUAUGGAAGCGUUGUAAGGCGUGGAGUUGACUGGUACUAAUAGGCUGAAGACUUAUUCAC